This 278-nucleotide ribosomal RNA is filed under the name Gephyrocapsa oceanica. Its description in RNAcentral is "partial Bacterial large subunit ribosomal RNA". It matches the Rfam family "Bacterial large subunit ribosomal RNA", at positions 1606 to 1894 of the family's 2925-position model. Lineage: Eukaryota; Haptophyta; Isochrysidales; Noelaerhabdaceae. The record is from RNAcentral.
UUCCAGGAAAUAGCCUCCACGUGAGACCGUACCCGAAACCGACACAGGUGGUCAGGUAGAGUAUACCAAGGCGCUUGAGAGAAUGACGUUGAAGGAACUCGGCAAUUUACCUCCGUAACUUCGGAAGAAGGAGGCCAUGCAUCACGCAAGUGGUGUGUGGGGGCACAGUCCAGGGGGUGGCAACUGUUUAACAAAAACACAGGACUCUGCGAAAUCGCAAGAUGACGUAUAGGGUCUGACGCCUGCCCGGUGCCGGAAGGUUAAUUGAUGGGGUUAGC